RNAcentral lists this ribosomal RNA (253 nucleotides) under uncultured bacterium. RNAcentral's name for it is "partial 16S ribosomal RNA". It matches the Rfam family "Bacterial small subunit ribosomal RNA", at positions 524 to 776 of the family's 1533-position model. The record is from RNAcentral.
CACGGGGGGAGCAAGCGUUGUUCGGAAUCACUGGGCGUAAAGUGCGUGUAGGCGGUCAAGUAAGUGGGAUGUAAAAUCCCUCGGCUCACCCGAGGACCUGCAUCCCAAACUGCUUGGCUUGAGUAUGGGAGAGGAUGAGGGAAUUCCUGGUGUAGCGGUGAAAUGCGUAGAUAUCAGGAGGAACACCGGUGGCGAAAGCGCUCAUCUGGCCCGAUACUGACGCUGAAGCACGAAAGCUAGGGGAGCAAACGGG